RNAcentral lists this long non-coding RNA (440 nucleotides) under Citrus x clementina. Its description in RNAcentral is "Citrus clementina (C. clementina) long non-coding RNA (CCLE_LNC001081)". Lineage: Eukaryota; Viridiplantae; Streptophyta; Magnoliopsida; Sapindales; Rutaceae. The record is from RNAcentral.
CAAAACGGUCUCGGAUACUUUCAUAUACUUCUUCUUGUUUCCAGCUUUUAAGAUCUCCAUAACUUUUAAUUUUGGAACAGUCAUCGGUAUUGACAAUUCCACUAUCCAAUCCUUCUCUCAACUUCGGCAAUAAAUGAACAUGAAUUAGCGAAUAAGCAAAUACAAAUUACGUUCAGUCAACAUCAAGCUUUAUAUCAAUGCUAAAACUAACAACACAUCUAAAAGUAUUACUUGUUGAGGAAGACCUCAAAUUAAGAAAAAAAUAAUCAAGGAAAUAACCAUACAAAUAAUAUCAAGAAAGACCUUAUUCCCUUCGACCUUCGGCUUAAAAAAUUCAUCUUCAUCACUUUCUUCACCCUCAAUACUAUCCUGCACUUCUUUGGACGAAGUUUCUGAUGUUGAUGUUGAUUUCCCAUAUACAAGCUGAAUGAGAUUGGCGC